This 1401-nucleotide ribosomal RNA is filed under the name Alloptes obtusolobus. RNAcentral's name for it is "eukaryotic LSU rRNA". It matches the Rfam family "Eukaryotic large subunit ribosomal RNA", at positions 73 to 1269 of the family's 3401-position model. The record is from RNAcentral. Lineage: Eukaryota; Metazoa; Arthropoda; Arachnida; Sarcoptiformes; Alloptidae.
GAUUCCCUUAGUAAUGGCGAACGAAAAGGGAAUGGUCCAGCGCCAAGUCUUGACACCUAUGGUGUUCAAGAGAUGCGGCGUUCAUGUAUUGGUGCAUCGUACGUCGUUUCCAGUUUCAAGUUCCUUUGACAGGGACAUCCAGAGCGGGUGCUAGGCCCAUAGAGACAAGAGACUGACGUACGCCAACCAAUGCAUUCUAGAGUCAGGUUGCUUGAGAGUGCAGCUUAAAGUCGGUGGUAAACUCCAUCCAAGACUAAAUACUACAGCGAGACCGAUAGCAAACAAGUACCGUGAAGGAAAGUUGCAAAGCACUUUGAAGAGAGAGUUCAACAGUACGUGAAACCACUGGGAGGCAAACAGAUGGAACCACGAAGUGUGCGCCUCGGUCGAUUCAAUCCAUGGUUGCGGGUGUCUCUGGCUGAAAGGGAUCUCUUCGGAGGUUGGUCAGCCGGGGAAUACCUGUUGCCAUGGGUGCAUUUCGUGCCGAGGAUGCUAAGCCACGUUCAACCAGAGUUGGGACGGCCAUAGGACAGGGCCUGGGAAAGGUGCCCGUCAAGUGCUUGCAUUUGGCGGCGUUAUAGACCCGGACCGGAACCGUCGCCUAACAUGCUGGUUGAUGCAAGUUCUCCUUUUGGAGUGAAACUGCAACUGCCUGCGUUGGUAAGCCGGCGUUUCGGUGUGUUCUUUGCGUAUCUUUGGGUGCGAAAAGGCAUGCCAACAGCGUCGUCUAAUUGAUGCUUGCGUGUUGCGGUGGAACUGUGGCGCGAGUAGGUCGGUCUCCAUCUGACCCGUCUUGAAACACGGACCAAGGAGCCUAUCAUAUACGCGAGUCGCUCGGUCUUGACUAGGCCCGGGAGGCGAAAUGAAAGUAAAGCUACCUUCAGUAGCGGCACACCUACUUCGUAUAUUGGCGAUCAGGUGUAGCUGGAGCGUAUACGAUGGUACCCGAAAGAUGGUGAACUAUGCCUGGGCAAGACGAAGCCAGAGGAAACUCUGGUGGAGGUCUGUAGCGAUUCUGACGUGCAAAUCGAUCGUCAGACCUGGGUAUAGGGGCGAAAGACUAAUCGAACCAUCUAGUAGCUGGUUCCCUCCGAAGUUUCCCUCAGGAUAGCAGGCGCUUAUUUGUCAGUCUCAUCCGGUAAAGCUAAUGAUUAGAGGUCUUGGGGUUGAAACGACCUCAACCUAUUCUCAAACUUUAAAUGGGUGAGAUGGUUGACUUUCUUGAUUGAAGCCAACCAUUAUGGAUGCGAGUGCCUAGUGGGCCAUUUUUGGUAAGCAGAACUGGCGCUGUGGGAUGAACCAAACGUCGAGAUAAGGCAUCAAAUGCAUACGCUCAUGAGACCCCAUGAAAGGUGUUGGUUGCUAUAGACAGCAGGACGGUGGCCAUGGAAGUCGGAAUCC